UGAAAACAAGGACAACGUAGGUAAUUUGUAUAUAAAUCUGGUGUAAACAGUUCAGACAAUUUUUUACGUUUGUGUGAUUUUUAGGAUUUUUUCUACUCUACGCAAAAGUUUCUAUUUUUCAACAAGAUUAAAGCAACUAACACCCCACAUGAUCCCAAAGGCUUUACUUGGAACAUAAACUAAAUAAAACAUAAAAAUACAAUCAUAACAGUCGCAUAAUUUUGCAAACACUCAAGAACAGAGAACAAAAGUAAAAAA
This 258-nucleotide long non-coding RNA is filed under the name Hordeum vulgare. RNAcentral's name for it is "long non-coding RNA (HVUL_LNC001104)". Lineage: Eukaryota; Viridiplantae; Streptophyta; Magnoliopsida; Poales; Poaceae. The record is from RNAcentral.